GACGAACGCUGGCGGCGUGCUUAACACAUGCAAGUCGAACGGUAAGGCCUUCGGGUACACGAGUGGCGAACGGGUGAGUAACACGUGGGUGAUCUGCCCUGCACUUUGGGAUAAGCCUGGGAAACUGGGUCUAAUACCGAAUAGGACCACGCGCUUCAUGGUGUGUGGUGGAAAGCUUUUGCGGUGUGGGACGGGCCCGGGGCCUAUCAGCUUGUUGGGGGGGUAAUGAGCUACCAAGGCGGCGAAGGGUAGCCGGGCUGGGAGGGUGACCGGCCACAAUGGGACUGGGAUACGGCCCAGACUCCUACGGGAGGCAGCAGUGGGGAAUAUUGCAAAAUGGGAGCAAGCCUGAUGCAGCGACGCCGCGUGAGGGAUGACGGCCUUCGGGUUGUAAACCUCUUUCAGUAGGGACGAAGCGCAAGUGACGGUACCUAUAGAAGAAGGACCGGCCAACUACGUGCCAGCAGCCGCCGUAA
RNAcentral lists this ribosomal RNA (476 nucleotides) under uncultured bacterium. RNAcentral's name for it is "partial 16S ribosomal RNA". It matches the Rfam family "Bacterial small subunit ribosomal RNA", at positions 28 to 523 of the family's 1533-position model. The record is from RNAcentral.